AAGACCAUACUUUCAGGGAUCAUCUCUACAGUCUGUUCCUAGAAAAGUUUCUCUCCACGUGUAGAAUGUCCAAAACCACAAGGAGGAGAUACAGUGUCCCUUCCCACUGGGUCUGGAUGUUGCUUCUCCAGCUGCCCUUUGCCACUGAUGAUCAUUUUUCUCCUCCUCUGGGGGAGUAAAAGGGAAGGGACACCCUUUGAGAGG
This 204-nucleotide small nucleolar RNA is filed under the name Mustela putorius furo (domestic ferret). Its description in RNAcentral is "Small nucleolar RNA U3 (ENSMPUG00000021542.1)". It matches the Rfam family "Small nucleolar RNA U3". From Rfam's summary of the family: Small nucleolar RNAs (snoRNAs) are involved in the processing and modification of rRNA in the nucleolus. There are two main classes of snoRNAs: the box C/D class, and the box H/ACA class. The record is from RNAcentral. Lineage: Eukaryota; Metazoa; Chordata; Mammalia; Carnivora; Mustelidae.